This is a long non-coding RNA of Oncorhynchus tshawytscha (Chinook salmon), 1686 nucleotides long. The record is from Ensembl. NCBI's taxonomy places the organism in Eukaryota, Metazoa, Chordata, Actinopteri, Salmoniformes, Salmonidae.
GGAAGAGUUUGUGUGUGUGUGUAGCGGUGUGAGGGAUGCCUCGGCGUAGUGGGGCCCGUGACAACGGGGCUGAGGUGAGCCAGCGAACCCCCCAAGGGAGGAGAAAAUACCCCCAAGUUGAGGAGCCUUCCACACCCACCAGAGAGGCCACAGGAUCUAUGAUGCCACAGGAUCGGUUGCCUAUGAUUGGCUCCUCUGGGAGUAAGCCAGCAGCCAAGCCGACUAUGACAACCCACCAGCGCCCCUCUCAGGCCGCACGGAGGAAGCGCACCCAGACGGGCCAGACCUCCGCCAACCUUCCCCCGGACAGCAUGACCCCGUGGGGCGGACUGUCCCUGUCCGAAUCCUCCUUCACCAGAAUCCCUCCGCCCCCGCCCGCCCCUCUCCCCACACCUCUGCCCCCCCAACUCCCCCGACACCUGUCGGGGGGUGUCGGUGUCCGGAGCCCUGCCCCCUCGCCCCCAGUCACAGCUCCCACGGAGGGGAGCAGGGCCGUGAGGGUGAGGCGCAGGGUGCCCCCCAGCACAGGCUCCCCGUGCCCCCGCUUGCCCCCACUCAGACCCGUCACCAACCUCAGCUUCUCUCGCAGCUUCACCUUCUCCUUCUUUGAGCUGCCACUGCACCAGUCCCCCCACAGCCGCGCUGAACGCGUCCGAGACCUCAUGCUGCUGCUGAGACAGAUCCAGUACUGACUAACCGCACUACACCGUGACCCAGAGCAGCGACUCAGUACUGACCACAGCAUGGCUAUUAACUAGGACAAUACUUGACCACUCACCAGGACAAUGGUCCAGCUCUGGUUGCAUCACAAUUACAUCAAGUCCAAGCACUGGCACCGGUGGUCAGGCACGAUCCUUCUGAAAAUGCGGGACUACUGUCCAGUACUGACCAACUUGAUGGCACACCAAGGACCACAACAGGACCAAGGUUAUCUGCAGAUAUUCUGAACCCUUUCUGAUUAACUCAGUCCAGGGAUACUGCUUUUAAAGCACAUUUAUUCUCAGCGUUUGUAUGUUAGUGUGCCCAGUGAUUGGAGUACUAAACAUUUGUGUGUGUGUGUGUGACGUGUUAAGAAUUUGUUUGUUCUUAUUGGCUGUCUGGAUCUGGGGGUGAGGCUUUGAGACAGUGUAGCACGGGUUAAAUUAGGUAAUUUAUCAGAUUAAAACGUAUCAACAAAAAAAUAACAGAUUUUUUAAAAAACAUACCAAGUUAAAACUCAGAAUAAUUGGAUGCUAGAGUUUUAUGUAGCCUGAUAUGCUAAUCAAAGUCUGUCUAAGUUCAUGUUUCUUGUAGUAGUUAUAAUGUGGCAAAUGUUCCCAUUGUCGGUUGGUAAUCAUUCUCUCCCAAGACAUGGUAAUUUAAACAUCUGUAUUUCUCUCUCAAAAUCAUAAGAUUAUAGCAUUUAAUUUAGUCGUCUUUACACUUUAUACGAUGUAAAGAAAGUUCAUGUUUGAUCUAAUGUGUCAAUGUUUAUAAUGUAAGGCUGGCAAGAAUUCUCUCCUGAGACUUUUCAACGUCUCCAUUUGUGUCAGAAUUAUUUGGGCGCAUUUGUUUCUAGUCAUUAUGUCACUUUAUAUUCUACAAUGUGAUGUGGCAAAUGGCUAUAAUGCACAGCUCGUUUGAGAGCCUAAGAUGCUUUAUCCCAAGACCUUUAUGCAUAUCAGUACAGCAGAAGAAUCAACCCAC